This 468-nucleotide ribosomal RNA is filed under the name uncultured bacterium. RNAcentral describes it as "partial 16S ribosomal RNA". It matches the Rfam family "Bacterial small subunit ribosomal RNA", at positions 28 to 507 of the family's 1533-position model. The record is from RNAcentral.
GACGAACGCUGGCGGCGUGCUUAACACAUGCAAGUCGAACGGAAAGGCCCUGCUUUUGUGGGGUGCUCGAGUGGCGAACGGGUGAGUAACACGUGAGUAACCUGCCCUUGACUUUGGGAUAACUUCAGGAAACUGGGGCUAAUACCGGAUAGGAGCUCCUGCUGCAUGGUGGGGGUUGGAAAGUUUCGGCGGUUGGGGAUGGACUCGCGGCUUAUCAGCUUGUUGGUGGGGUAGUGGCUUACCAAGGCUUUGACGGGUAGCCGGCCUGAGAGGGUGACCGGCCAAAUUGGGACUGAGAUAAGGCCCAGACUCCAACGGGAGGCAGCAGUGGGGAAUAUUGCACAAUGGGCGGAAGCCUGAUGCAGCAACGCCGCGUGCGGGAUGACGGCCUUCGGGUUGUAAACCGCUUUCGCCUGUGACGAAGCGUGAGUGACGGUAAUGGGUAAAGAAGCACCGGCUAACUACGUG